Hyaena hyaena (striped hyena) is the source of this 108-nucleotide small nuclear RNA. The record is from RefSeq and is a predicted model, not a curated record. NCBI's taxonomy places the organism in Eukaryota, Metazoa, Chordata, Mammalia, Carnivora, Hyaenidae.
GUGCUCACUUCAGCAGCACAUAUACUAAAAAUUGGAAUGAUACAGAAAAGAUUAGCAUGGUGGCUGAACAAGGAUGACAUGCAAAUUCAUGAAGUGUUUCAUAUUAAA